AACGAACGCUGGCGGCAUGCCUAACACAUGCAAGUCGAACGAGACCUUCGGGUCUAGUGGCGCACGGGUGCGUAACGCGUGGGAAUCUGCCCCUCGGUUCAGAACAACAGUUAGAAAUGACUGCUAAUACCGGAUAAUGACGAAAGUCCAAAGAUUUAUCGCCGAGGGAUGAGCCCGCGUAGGAUUAGCUUGUUGGUGGGGUAAUGGCCCACCAAGGCGACGAUCCUUAGCUGGUCUGAGAGGAUGAUCAGCCACACUGGGACUGGGACACGGCCCAGACUCCUACGGGAGGCAGCAGUGGGGAAUAUUGGGACAAUGGGCGAAAGCCUGAUCCAGCAAUGCCGCGUGAGUGAUGAAGGCCUUAGGGUUGUAAAGCUCUUUUACCAGGGAUGAUAAUGACAGUACCUGGAGAAUAAGCUCCGGCUAACUCCGUGCCAGCAGCCGCGGUAAU
This 451-nucleotide ribosomal RNA is filed under the name uncultured bacterium. Its description in RNAcentral is "bacterial SSU rRNA". It matches the Rfam family "Bacterial small subunit ribosomal RNA", at positions 29 to 524 of the family's 1533-position model. The record is from RNAcentral.